UUGACCUCGGAUCAGGUAGGGUUACCCGCUGAACUUAAGCAUAUCAAUAAGCGGAGGAAAAGAAACCAACAGGGAUUGCCCCAGUAACGGCGAGUGAAGCGGCAACAGCUCAAAUUUGAAAUCUGGUCCCCUUUGGGGGCCCGAGUUGUAAUUUGAAGAGGAUGCUUUUGGCGAGGCGCCGUCCGAGUUCCCUGGAACGGGACGCCGCAGAGGGUGAGAGCCCCGUACGGUCGGACGCCGAGCCUCUGUAAAGCUCCUUCGACGAGUCGAGUAGUUUGGGAAUGCUGCUCAAAAUGGGAGGUAAACCCCUUCUAAAGCUAAAUACCGGCCAGAGACCGAUAGCGCACAAGUAGAGUGAUCGAAAGAUGAAAAGCACUUUGAAAAGAGAGUUAAAAAGCACGUGAAAUUGUUGAAAGGGAAGCGCUUGCGACCAGACUUGCGCCCGUCGGAUCAACCGUCGCUUGCGGCGGCGCACUCCGGCGGGCUCAGGCCAGCAUCAGUUCGCUCGGGGGGAGAAAGGCGUCGGGAAUGUAGCUCUUCGGAGUGUUAUAGCCCGUCGUAUAAUACCCUCGGGUGGACUGAGGACCGCGCGUAUGCAAGGAUGCUG
This 607-nucleotide ribosomal RNA is filed under the name Scopulariopsis cf. soppii. RNAcentral's name for it is "eukaryotic LSU rRNA". It matches the Rfam family "Eukaryotic large subunit ribosomal RNA", at positions 1 to 628 of the family's 3401-position model. Lineage: Eukaryota; Fungi; Ascomycota; Sordariomycetes; Microascales; Microascaceae. The record is from RNAcentral.